Molecule: long non-coding RNA, 273 nt
Filed under: Physcomitrium patens
Lineage: Eukaryota; Viridiplantae; Streptophyta; Bryopsida; Funariales; Funariaceae
Description: long non-coding RNA (PPAT_LNC002946)
Source: RNAcentral
UAUUACCUUGAGAAGAGGUUGUUUAAAAAGAUUACUAUAGAAUUUGUAUAACUUUAAUUUCCUUUUGAUAGUGGCUUUGAGGAGGCUAUCCGAGGCCAUAUUAGAGAUUAGGGUCAGUUUCUCGAAGCCAUUCGAGUUUUUAAGGCUAGGGUCAGAAGAUUUAGAUUUUUGGCUAUGGUUUUGGUGCAAGUUUUGUAUCAUUUGGGGUUUUUAUGAAGAAGUUAUAGGCGCUCAAAGUUAAGGUGUUAGUUUUGGACCUACUGUUACUCUUUU